This is a long non-coding RNA of Mytilus californianus (California mussel), 4437 nucleotides long. RefSeq lists it as uncharacterized. Lineage: Eukaryota; Metazoa; Mollusca; Bivalvia; Mytilida; Mytilidae. The transcript is spliced from 2 exons. The record is from RefSeq and is a predicted model, not a curated record.
AAAACAAGCAUUUUUAUACGACUGCAAAAAAAUUUUGAGGUCGUAUAUUGGUAUGACGUUGGCGUCGUCGUCGUCGUCGUCGUCGGCGUCGUCGUCCGAAUACACAAUGGUUUUCGCACUCUAACUUUAGUUUAAGUGAAUGGAUCUCUAUGAAAUUUUACCAUAAGGUUCAAUACUACAAUAGGAAGGUGGGGAUUGAUUUUGGGGGUUAUGGUACCAACAGUUAAGGAAUUAGGGGCCAAAAAGGGGCCGAAAAUAAGCAUUUUUGUAACUUCCAGACAUAACUUGUGUGUUAGCAUAUGGAUCUCUUUGACAUUGUACCACAAGAUUCCAUAUCACAAAGGGUCAAUGCUGGGAUUGAUUUUGGGGUUAAUUGCCUCAAAAUUUUAGGAAUAAGGGGCCAAAAGGGGGCAAAAAUCAAGCAUUUUUCUAGUUUCAUGACAAUAACUUGUGUGUAAGUGUAUGGAUCUUUCUGAAAUUUUACUACAAGGUUCCAUUUCACAAAGGGAAAGCUGGAAUUGAGUGUUGUGGUAAUUGCCCAAAACGUUUAGUAAUAAGGGGCCUAAAAAGGGGUUUAAAAUAAGCAUUUUUUAGUUUCUAGACAAUAACUUGUGUUCAAGUGUAUGGAUCUCUCUAAAAUUGUAUUACAAGGUACCAUACCACAAAGGCAAGGCUGUUAUUGAGCUUGGUUUGGGGGGAAAGGGGGGUGGGGGUGAUGAAUCAUAAGGGGGGCGGGGGUCAAAAAAGGGGUAAUUUUUUUUUUUCCUUUUUUUUUUGUUUAAAAUUUACAUUUUAAGUUAGUUAUUUUUUAUCACGAAGAGAAAGUAGGAAUUGAGUUUUGGGGUUAAUUGCUCAAACAUUUAUGAAUAAAGGGCCAAAUAUUGGUCAAAAAUAAGGAUUUUUUUAGUUUGCAACAAAAACUUGUGUUCAAGUGUAUGGAUCUCUGUGAAAUUGUAUUGCAAUGUACCAUUCCACAAAUUGAAGGUUGUGAUUGAGGUGGGGGAUGAUGAAUCAAAAGGGGGUGGAAAAAAUGUGUGGGAGGUAGGAUUUUUUUUUUUCCUUUUUUUUUCUUUAAAAUUUUCCAUUUAAAGAUGGUUGUUUCAGAUUUAUAUAUGAAAGAAAAUAAUAAUGAUACGGUUAUAUAUCAUGAGGAAUUGAAAUUUAAAAUUAUGUAUAUUGGAAAUUUAAGUUACAUUGGAAAGUAAUAAUUGGCUUUGGGGGGGGGGGGGGGGGGGGGAGGGGGUGGUUAUGGCUCUAAUGUUUAAGGAAUAAGGGGCAAAAAGGUUAAAAAACAAGGGUUUCCAUUUUAAUAGACAAAUAAUUGAGUAAAGAACAUUAUUUAAAAGCAGUGUAAGGUUGGUAAUUCAAACUCAUUUAAAUAUCUCAUCUACACUGCUUUUAAAUUAUGUAAAUUGGAAAUUUGCCAAUAACUUUAUUGUUAAUAAAUGCAUUGGAUAUUUGCCAACAAUUUUAGUGUAAUAAACUUCAUUGGAAAUUUGCCAAUAUAAAAUUUUGCUGAUGAAGGUUUUUUGUUUACCUUUAGCCUUGACUAUGAAGUCAUUUUCUAUUUUUAUAGCCUUAUGAUGUAGUUGAAUUAUUUAAUACUUUUAUGAUGUGUUUAAAUGGGGUUUUAUCAUGUUUAUGGUUGCAAAUUUAUUGUUUUAGUAUAAUAAACUCCAUUUAAAAUUUGCCAAUAAAAAAACUUUUUGUUUAUUUUUAGCUAUGAUUAUGAUGUCAUUUUCUAUUUUACUUUUAUGGUUGCAAAGAAAUUUUUAUUUUUAGAUAUUACUGUUAAAUGAUGCUGAUUAAGGUUUUUGCUAUGUUUAGCCAUGACUAUGAUGUCAUUUUUUAUUUUAAUAUCUGUUAUGAUGUAUUUAAAUGGGCUUUUAUGGUUACAAAGGAAUUUUAUUUUUAGAUAUUACUAUAAAAUGUUGCUGAUGCUGAUUAAGGAUUUUGUUUAUUUUUAGCCAUGACUAUGAUGUCAUUUUCUAUUUUAAUACCUUUAUGAUGUAAUUUCCAUUUUUAGCUCACCUGACCUGAAAGGUCAAGUGAGCUUUUCUCAUCACUUUGCGUCCGUCGUCCGUCGUCCUGCGUCCGUCGUCCGUAAACUUUUACAAAAAUCUUCUCCUCUGAAACUACUGGGCCAAAUGCACCCAAACUUAAACACAAUCAUCAUUCAAGUAUCUAGUUUAAAAAAUGUGUCCGGUGACCCGGCCAACCAACCAAGAUGGCCGCCAUGGCUAAAAAUAGAACAUAGUGGUAAAAUGUAGAUUUUGGCUUAUAUCUCUGAAACCAAAGCAUUUAGAGCAAAUCUGACAUGGAGUAAAAUUGUUUAUCAGGUCAAGAUCUAUCUGCCCUGAAAUUUUCAGAUGAAUCGGACAACCCGUUGUUGGGUUGCUGCCCCUGAAUUGGUAAUUUUAAGGAAAUUUUGCCGUUUUUGGUUAUUAUCUUGAAUAUUAUUAUAGAUAGAGAUAAACUGUAAACAGCAAUAAUGUUCAGCAAAGUAAGAUCUACAAAUAAGUCAACUUGACCAAAAUGGUCAGUUGACCCCUUAAGGAGUUAUUGCCCUUUAUAGUCAAUUUUUAACCAUUUUUCGUAAAUUUUUGUAAUCUUUUACAAAAAUCUUCUCCUCUGAAACUACUAAGACAAAUUUAACCAAACUUGUCCACAAUCAUCAAUAGGGUAUCUAGUUUAAAAAAUGUGUCCGAUGACCCCGCCUGCAAACCAAGAUGGCCGACAUGGCUAAAAAAUAGUACAUAGGGUAAAAAGCAGUUUUUGGCUAAUAUCUCUGAAACCAGAGCAUUGAGAGCAAAUCUGACAAGGAUAAAAUUGUUCAUUAGGUCAAGAUCUAUCUGCCCUGAAAUUUUCAGAUGAAUCGGACAACCCGUUGUUGGGUUGCUGCCCCUGAAUUGGUAAUUUUAAGGAAAUUUUGCCGUUUUUGGUUAUUAUCUUGAAUAUUAUUAUAGAUAGAGAUAAACUGUAAACAGCAAUAAUGUUCAGCAAAGUAAGAUCUACAAAUAAGUCAACUUGACCAAAAUGGUCAGUUGACCCCUUAAGGAGUUAUUGCCCUUUAUAGUCAAUUUUUAACCAUUUUUCGUAAAUUUUUGUAAUCUUUUACAAAAAUCUUCUCCUCUGAAACUACUAAGACAAAUUUAACCAAACUUGUCCACAAUCAUCAAUAGGGUAUCUAGUUUAAAAAAUGUGUCCGAUGACCCCGCCUGCAAACCAAGAUGGCCGACAUGGCUAAAAAAUAGUACAUAGGGUAAAAAGCAGUUUUUGGCUAAUAUCUCUGAAACCAGAGCAUUGAGAGCAAAUCUGACAAGGAUAAAAUUGUUCAUUAGGUCAAGAUCUAUCUGCCCUGAAAUUUUCAGACCAAUCAGGCAACACGUUGUUGGGUUGCUGCCCUUGAAUUGGUAAGUUUAAGAAAAUUUUGCAGCUUUUGGUUAUUAUCUUGAAUAUUAUUAUAGAUAGAGAUAAACUGUAAACAACAAUAAUGUACAGCAAAGUAAGAUCUACAAAUAAGUCAACAUAACCAAAAUUGUCAAUUGACCCCUUAAGGAGUUAUUGCCCUUUAUAGUCAAUUUUUUACAAUUUUCAUAAAUUUUGUAAAUUUUUGUAAAUUUUUGCAAAAUAUUUUCCACUGUAACUACUGGGCCAAGUUCAUUAUAGAUAGAGAUAAUAGUAAGGAGCAAGAAUGUUCAGUAAAGUAAGAUCUACAAACACAUCACCAUCACCAAAACACAAUUUUGUCAUGAAUCCAUCUGUGUCCUUUGUUUAAUAUGCACAUAGACCAAGGUGAGCGACACAGGCUCUUUAGAGCCUCUAGUUAGAUAUUACUGUUAAAUGAUGCUGAUUAAGGGUUGUUAGCUAUGUUUAGCCAUGACUAUGAUGUCAUUUUCUAUUUUAAUAUCUUUAUGAUGUAUUUAAAUGGGCUUUUAUGGUUACAAAGGAAUUUUAUUUUUAGAUAUUACUUUAAAUGUUGCUGAUUAAGGAUUUUUGUUUAUUUUUAGCCAUGACUAUGAUGUCACUUUCUAUUUUAAUACCUUUAUGAUGUAUUUAAAUGGGCUCCCAUGUAUUUAGAUUUUUGAUUAUUUAUACAUGUUACCAAAUUGGUCCACAUUGAACAAAAACGGUCCAAAUUUCAACUUUAUUACAUUACAUCAAACAUUGAAUUCUACAUAUUCUUUGGUAUAUUGAAAUUAACAAACAAUUUAGUUUAUGGAUAUUCCACCAUAAUAGGUAAAUUAAUUUUUUUCCAGUUCUUACACCACAUUCAUCCUGUGUCAGAAACCUAUGUUGUGUCAAAUAUUUAAUGACAAUCCAAAGUCAUAGCUGUAUCAAGCUUGAAUUUUGUGUCCAUACUUGCCCCAACUGUUCAGGGUUCGACCUCUGCGGUCGUAUCAAGCUGCGCCCCAGCGAAGCAUUUUAUUCUAAUUU